This is a long non-coding RNA of Neofelis nebulosa (Clouded leopard), 1149 nucleotides long. RefSeq lists it as uncharacterized. Lineage: Eukaryota; Metazoa; Chordata; Mammalia; Carnivora; Felidae. The record is from RefSeq and is a predicted model, not a curated record. The transcript is spliced from 2 exons.
CUCAUCCCUCACCAUGUUAGCUGUGAUUUUAGACUCUGGGAAAGUCACACGGCACCACAUCACUGCUCAGGCUCCAAAUUCCUGAACGAGUUUCAACCUGCUAAAAGGGUCAUCAUCUCUAGAGCCUGGCUCUCUCUCCAGAACGCGUCUCCCUUAAUUCUCUCUGCUCGCAACUCAGGAGUCGAUGUGGGAGCGUCCACAAGUGGGAAGAGCCCACCCAUCAAGCCCCAGCCUGAACAUAAGGUGAAGGUGCGUUCAGUGAGCCAGAGAACUUGCCUGCAGCGAACCUCCAGCACCACACGCAGGAGGUGCUGCAGGAGGGCUCACCUUUGGAGGCAACGUCACCUUCUGACUGUACUCUCCAGAGACAUCCCACCACACCACACAGUGCCUCUCAUCUUUCCCGUUUUCUUCCUGUAAUAUUCUCAGACAGAGUCAGGUAAACCUGACACUCACUCGCAGGAAUUUCCAUAGAGCCCCUGGGCAGAGAAAAGAAGCAGUGCUCUGCUGAGACCUUCCUCUGGACUGCAUCUGGUUUCUCGAGAACCACUCUGUCACUGGGGUGUAGAGGAGCAAGGGACCUGGGGAAGGUCCCCUGGACAUCAGGAGGCUCAUCUCACAGUGGCUGAGCUCCCACAGCCAUCACAUGACACCAUUUGCGAGUAGAUGAUGUAAAUGGUUUCAACACCCAAGGUUUUUAGGGAGUCACCCCGGCCCAUUGGCCCUAUUGUAUGCACGGCAUUCUCCGCCUUUCCCCCCAGCCUUUAUUGAAGGAGCUACGGGGUGGUCAGCACGUUUGAGACUUUAAAUCUGAGAUCUAGUCUUUCAUGAAUUCAUGGCAUGUCUGCCAAAUCAAAUGCAAAACUGUCCACAGGCACAUCCACUUGACUUUGACCAGACUAGACUAUUCACUGCUCCCUAAACUUGCUCUAUGCUUUGCUGCCUCUGUGGUGGCUCCUGGGGAGAAGAGUUGUGUCUGAGUCUCUGCUCCAGCCCAUGAACCCGAUGGAGUCCUGUAACUCCCGGUGAGUCCCUCAGGCCCAACUCUUAUCCCUUCUUUGCACACCUCCCCUUGCCUUUCUAUCGAUAUCCCCCCUUUAUUUCCUAUAGUGGAUGAAGUACAAUAUCAAAUAAAGUGUUCACAAUACA